GAUGAACGCUGGCGGCGUGCCUAAUACAUGCAAGUCGAGCGAACGGACGAGAAGCUUGCUUCUCUGAUGUUAGCGGCGGACGGGUGGGUAACACGUGGAUAACCUACCUAUAAGACUGGGAUAACUUCGGGAAACCGGCGCUAAUACCGGAUGAUAUUUUGAACCGCAUGGUUCAAAAGUGAAAGACGGUCUUGCUGUCACUUAUAGAUGGAUCCGCGCUGCAUUAGCUAGUUGGUAAGGUAACGGCUUACCAAGGCAACGAUGCAUAGCCGACGUGAGAGGGUGAUAGGCCACACUGGAACUGAGACACGGUCCAGACUCCUACGGGAGGCAGCAGUAGGGAAUCUUCCGCAAUGGGCGAAAGCCUGACGGAGCAACGCCGCGUGAGUGAUGAAGGUCUUCGGAUCGUAAAACUCUGUUAUUAGGGAAGAACAUAUGUGUAAGUAACUGUGCACAUCUUGACGGUACCUAAUCAGAAAGCCACGGCUAACUACGUG
This 497-nucleotide ribosomal RNA is filed under the name uncultured bacterium. RNAcentral's name for it is "partial 16S ribosomal RNA". It matches the Rfam family "Bacterial small subunit ribosomal RNA", at positions 28 to 507 of the family's 1533-position model. The record is from RNAcentral.